RNAcentral lists this ribosomal RNA (253 nucleotides) under uncultured bacterium. Its description in RNAcentral is "partial 16S ribosomal RNA". It matches the Rfam family "Bacterial small subunit ribosomal RNA", at positions 524 to 776 of the family's 1533-position model. The record is from RNAcentral.
UACAGAGGUGGCAAGCGUUGUUCGGAAUUACUGGGCGUAAAGGGCGCGUAGGCGGCCUUCUAAGUCAGACGUGAAAUCCCCCGGCUUAACCUGGGAACUGCGUCUGAUACUGGGAGGCUUGAGUAUGGGAGAGGGAUGUAGAAUUCCAGGUGUAGCGGUGAAAUGCGUAGAUAUCAGGAGGAACACCGAUGGCGAAGGCAGGUCUCUGGGCUGAAACUGACGCUCAUGCACGAAAGCGUGGGGAGCAAACAGG